CUUGAACGCUGACGGCAGGCCUAACACAUGCAAGUCGCGCGUGAAAGUCCUUCGGGAAGAGUACAGCGGCGGACCGGUGAGUAACGCGUAGGAAACUACCUGAUAGUGGGGGAUAACGUCGCGAAAGGGGCGUUAAUACCACAUACGUUCUGAGGCAGAAAGCAUGGGUUCCCCAGCUCUUGCGCUCUCAGAUGAGCCUGCGUCCGAUUAGCUCGUUGGUGGGGUAAAGGACUACCAAGGCGACGAUCGGUAACUGGUCUGAGAGUGAUGAUCAGUCACACUGGAACUGAGACACGGUCCAGACUGCUACGGGAGGCAGCAGUGGGGAAUAUUGGACAAUGGGGGCAACCCUGAUCCAGCCAUGCCGCGUGUGUGAAGAAGGCCUUCGGGUUGUAAAGCACUUUAAGCGGGGAGGAAGGCUCGGCAGCUAAUACCUGUCGGGAUUGACGUUACCCGCAGAAUAAGCACCGGCAAACUUCGUGCCAGCCGCCGCGGUAA
This 498-nucleotide ribosomal RNA is filed under the name uncultured bacterium. RNAcentral describes it as "partial 16S ribosomal RNA". It matches the Rfam family "Bacterial small subunit ribosomal RNA", at positions 30 to 523 of the family's 1533-position model. The record is from RNAcentral.